AGAAAAGCAGUGCACCUGCCAGGGCGUAUGAGCAAAACUUGUAUGGCUGCGGAGAGGGUCACCCCAACAAAAUAGUAGAUGAUGUGAGCAUAAGUACCAUGAAUUCCAAUUGUGUAAGCAUACAAUUGGCUAUCGGUAAAUAUGCUUAAAGCACACAGAAAGCUUACCAAACCAAUAAACAACCAGAACCUCCGACCCAGCUCACCUGGGGUAGGGUAUUACUAUUAACAGAACGUGCGUUGGGACUAGCCGUAGUGAUAUUCAUUCAGCACUGGAUUAUGCUUAACUCUUCUUGGCAAGGGUUGAUCAGAAGGCGCUUUCAUAGAGACAGGAUUCAUGAGAAAAUACACAGGUUAUAGAAAGAGAGAAAGAAUGGCAGAAACAACGCAGCUCCCACACGCCCAACCUCUCUCUGUUUCUGCCUCUUAUCUCACUGCCUCUCCCUCACGCAGCCAAGUAGAUGCCACCAUCGCCCAUGCUCGGAUUUGUGGGUUUGGAUUGGCCGUGCUCCGAUGGCUCGAUUGGGCCCGAUUGUGGGUUUGAUUUUGCAGUGAUGUGAGCCUGAUUUGGUGGGUCUCAGUGCUAGUGGGUUAAUCAGGUGGGUCUCAGUGCUAGUGGGUUUUGGUUGUGUUUGUAUCGGUGGUGCCGGUUUUAAUGGUGGAUUUUGGUGGGUUUUAAUGGUUUGAUUUGGUGUUUGUGUUUGGUGUUUGUAUCGAUGGUGCUGGUUUUAAUGGUGGAUUUUGGUGGGUUUUAGUGGUCUUAUUUGGUGUUCGUAUUGGUGUUUUUAUCAAAUUUUGGUGUUUGUAUCGGUGGUGCUGGUUUUAAUAGUUUGAUUUGGUGGUUUUUUUUUUUUUGUGGUGGGUUGUUGAUAACGGUGGUUGUCGUUGUCGUUGUCGUUGUGGUAGUGAUUUUGUUUUGGGUUUUUGGUUUUGCAGUGGGUUGUGGCCGUCACAGUGAUAGUGGUGGUGGUGGUGAAAGGGUUGUGGUGGCUAGUUGCUGUGAAUUUUUGUGGCGGAAGUUUUAUUUUAUUUUAAUAAGAUGUUUAUAUUAUUUUAAUGAGAUGAAUGUUAAAAUAGAGUCUUUGAUGUUGA
Long non-coding RNA from Quercus robur (English oak), 1091 nucleotides. RefSeq lists it as uncharacterized. Lineage: Eukaryota; Viridiplantae; Streptophyta; Magnoliopsida; Fagales; Fagaceae. The record is from RefSeq and is a predicted model, not a curated record. The transcript is spliced from 2 exons.